Long non-coding RNA from Astyanax mexicanus (Mexican tetra), 253 nucleotides. RefSeq lists it as uncharacterized. The transcript has 4 exons. NCBI's taxonomy places the organism in Eukaryota, Metazoa, Chordata, Actinopteri, Characiformes, Acestrorhamphidae. The record is from RefSeq and is a predicted model, not a curated record.
GGAAGGCGAUAACAGGUGAGAGGUGGAUACAGGUGAGGGGUGAUGACAAGUGAGGGGUGAUGACAAGUGAGGGGUGAUGACAGGUGAGGGGUGAUGACAGGUGAUAACAGGUGAGAGGUGCAUACAGAUGAGGGGUGAUGACAGGUGAGGGGUGAUGACAGCUGAUAACAGGUGAUAACAGGUGAGGGGGGAUGACAGGUGAUAACAGGUGAGAGGUGAAUACAGGUGAGGGGUGAUGACAAGUGAGGGGUGA